RNAcentral lists this ribosomal RNA (404 nucleotides) under uncultured bacterium. RNAcentral's name for it is "bacterial SSU rRNA". It matches the Rfam family "Bacterial small subunit ribosomal RNA", at positions 355 to 776 of the family's 1533-position model. The record is from RNAcentral.
UGGGGAAUAUUGCGCAAUGGGGGAAACCCUGACGCAGCAACGCCGCGUGAGCGAAGAAGGCCUUCGGGUCGUAAAGCUCUGUCUUCUCUGACGAUAAUGACGGUAAGAGAGGAGGAAGCCACGGCUAACUACGUGCCAGCAGCCGCGGUAAUACGUAGGUGGCGAGCGUUGUCCGGAAUUACUGGGCGUAAAGGGUGCGUAGGCGGGAUAUUAAGUCAGAUGUGAAAACCCAGGGCUCAACUGUGGGACUGCAUUUGAAACUGAUAUUCUAGAGUGCAGGAGAGGGAAGCGGAAUUCCUAGUGUAGCGGUGAAAUGCGUAGAUAUUAGGAAGAACACCAGUGGCGAAGGCGGCUUCCUGGACUGUAACUGACGCUGAGGCACGAAAGCGUGGGGAGCAAACAGG